AACGAACGCUGGCGGCGUGCCUAACACAUGCAAGUCGUGCGAGAAAGUUCCUUCGGGAGCGAGUAAAGCGGCGCACGGGUGAGUAACACGUAGGUAACCUGCCCCCCAGUCUGGAACAACUAGAGGAAACUCUAGCUAAUGCCGGAUGAGACCACGAUCCCUUCGGGGGUUGCGGCCAAAGAUGGCCUCUACUUGUAAGCUAUCGCUGAGGGAUGGGCCUGCGGGCCAUUAGCUUGUUGGUGAGGUAACGGCUCACCAAGGCUGUGAUGGCUAGCUGGUCUGAGAGGAUGACCAGCCACACUGGGACAGAGACACGGCCCAGACUCCUACGGGAGGCAGCAGUGGGGAAUAUUGCGCAAUGGGCGAAAGCCUGACGCAGCGACGCCGCGUGGGGUGAUGAAGGCC
Molecule: ribosomal RNA, 405 nt
Filed under: uncultured bacterium
Lineage: Bacteria
Description: bacterial SSU rRNA
Rfam family: Bacterial small subunit ribosomal RNA
Source: RNAcentral